GGUCAAAUCAAAUCACGAAAACACCGGUUCUCGUUCGAUCACCGAAGUUAAGCAUCGUAGAGCCAGGUCAGUACUUAGAUGGGGGACCGCUUGGGAACACCUGGUACUGUAAG
Acanthosepion pharaonis is the source of this 113-nucleotide non-coding RNA. Lineage: Eukaryota; Metazoa; Mollusca; Cephalopoda; Sepiida; Sepiidae. The record is from the annotation of a GenBank genome assembly.